UGCCGCGUGCAGGAUGACGGUCCUAUGGAUUGUAAACGGCUUUUGUACAGGAAGAAACAUCUCUACGUGUAGAGACUUGACGGGACUGUACCAAUAAAGAUCGGCUAACUCCGUGCCAUCCCCCGCGGUAAUACGGAGGAUCCGAGCGUUAUCCGGAAUCAUUGGGUUGAAAGGGUCCGUAGGCGGUUUAGUAAGUCAGUGGUGAAAGCCCAUCGCUCGACGGUGGAACGGCCCUUGAUACUGCUGAGCUUGAAUUAUUAGGAAGUAACUAGAAUAUGUAGUGUAGCGGUGAAAUGCUUAGAGAUUACAUGGAAUACCAAUUGCGAAGGCAGGUUACUACUAAGGGAUUGACCCUGAUGGACGAAAGCAUGGGUAGCGAACAGGAUUAGAUACCCUGGUAGUCCACGCCGUAAACUAUGGAUACUAGCUGUUGGGAGCGAUCUCAGUGGCUAAGCGAAAGUGAUAAGUAUCCCACCUGGGGAGUACGUUCACAAGAAUGAAACUCAUAGGAAUUGACGGGGGCCCGCACAACCGGUGGAGCAUGUGGAUUAAUUCGAUGAUACGCGAGGAACCUUACCAAGGCUUAAAUGUAGAUUGACCGAU
Molecule: ribosomal RNA, 603 nt
Filed under: Flavobacterium sp. Ri2Pw_5866
Lineage: Bacteria; Pseudomonadati; Bacteroidota; Flavobacteriia; Flavobacteriales; Flavobacteriaceae
Description: bacterial SSU rRNA
Rfam family: Bacterial small subunit ribosomal RNA
Source: RNAcentral